This 45-nucleotide non-coding RNA is filed under the name Paramuricea clavata. Lineage: Eukaryota; Metazoa; Cnidaria; Anthozoa; Malacalcyonacea; Plexauridae. The record is from RNAcentral.
UCCCUGCUGACGAGUCCAUGAAGGACGAAACGCUGCGUACAGGGA